RNAcentral lists this transfer RNA (81 nucleotides) under Dysgonamonadaceae bacterium. RNAcentral's name for it is "tRNA-Leu". It matches the Rfam family "tRNA". Rfam says of the family: Transfer RNA (tRNA) molecules are approximately 80 nucleotides in length. Their secondary structure includes four short double-helical elements and three loops (D, anti-codon, and T loops). Lineage: Bacteria; Pseudomonadati; Bacteroidota; Bacteroidia; Bacteroidales; Dysgonomonadaceae. The record is from RNAcentral.
GCGGCAGUGGUGUAAUGGUAGCCACGCCAGCCUUAGGAGCUGGUACCGUAAGGUGUGGGGGUUCGAGUCCCCCUUGCCGCA